RNAcentral lists this ribosomal RNA (377 nucleotides) under uncultured eukaryote. Its description in RNAcentral is "partial 18S ribosomal RNA". It matches the Rfam family "Eukaryotic small subunit ribosomal RNA", at positions 592 to 976 of the family's 1831-position model. The record is from RNAcentral.
CAAUAGCGUAUAUUAAAGUUGUUGCAGUUAAAAAGCUCGUAGUUGGAUUUCGGGUGGGAAUGGCCGGUCCGCCGUUUCGGUGUGCACUUGCUACGCCCACCUUGCUGCCGGGGACGUGCUCUUGAGUUCACGCUCGGGACACGGAGUCGGCGAGGUUACUUUGAGUAAAUUAGAGUGUUCAAAGCAGGCCUACGCUCUGAAUACAUUAGCAUGGAAUAACACGAUAGGACUCUGGCCUAUCUUGUUGGUCUGUAGGACCGGAGUAAUGAUUAAGAGGGACAGUCGGGGGCAUUCGUAUUUCAUUGUCAGAGGUGAAAUUCUUGGAUUUAUGAAAGACGGACUACUGCGAAAGCAUUUGCCAAGGAUGUUUUCAUUAA